GACGAACGCUGGCGGCGUGCCUAACACAUGCAAGUCGAGCGGAGCCUAGCUGAAGAUUUAUCUUCAGCGAAAGCUUAGCGGCGAACGGGUGAGUAACGCGUGGGCAACCUGCCUUAUACAGGGGGAUAACACCGGGAAACCGGUGCUAAUACCGCAUAACACCGAGGUACAGCAUUGUAUCAUGGUCAAAGGAGGAAUCCGGUAUAAGAUGGGCCCGCGUCCGAUUAGCUAGUAGGUGAGGUAAAGGCUCACCUAGGCGACGAUCGGUAGCCGAACUGAGAGGUUGAUCGGCCACAUUGGGACUGAGACACGGCCCAGACUCCUACGGGAGGCAGCAGUGGGGAAUAUUGCGCAAUGGGGGGAACCCUGACGCAGCAACGCCGCGUGAAGGACGAAGGUUUUCGGAUCGUAAACUUCUUUGAUUGGGGAAGAAAGAAAUGACGGUACCCAAAAAACAAGCCACGGCUAACUACGUG
RNAcentral lists this ribosomal RNA (476 nucleotides) under uncultured organism. RNAcentral's name for it is "bacterial SSU rRNA". It matches the Rfam family "Bacterial small subunit ribosomal RNA", at positions 28 to 507 of the family's 1533-position model. The record is from RNAcentral.